UACAUGGGGUGCAAACGUUGCUCGGAAUUAUUGGGCGUAAAGCGCACGUAGGUGGUCUGUUAUGUCAGAUGUGAAAGCCCUCGGCUUAACUGAGGAAGUGCACCUGAAACUGGCAGGCUUGAGUACGAAAGAGGGUCGCGGAAUUCCCGGUGUAGAGGUGAAAUUCGUAGAUAUCAGGAGGAACACCGGUGGCGAAGGCGGCUUGCUGGGCCAGUUCUGACGCUGAGGAGCGAAAGCGUGGGGAGCGAACAGG
RNAcentral lists this ribosomal RNA (253 nucleotides) under uncultured bacterium. RNAcentral's name for it is "partial 16S ribosomal RNA". It matches the Rfam family "Bacterial small subunit ribosomal RNA", at positions 524 to 776 of the family's 1533-position model. The record is from RNAcentral.